AUAUUGGACAAUGGCGCAACCUGACCACCAUGCCGCGUCAGAAGACUGCCCUAUGGKUGUAAACUGCUUUUAUACAGGAAGAAACACUCCCUCGUGAGGGAGCUUGACGGUACUGUAAGAAUAAGGAUCGGCUAACUCCGUGCCAGCAGCCGCGGUAAUACGGAGGAUCCAAGCGUUAUCCGGAAUCAUUGGGUUUAAAGGGUCCGUAGGUGGAUAAUUAAGUCAGAGGUGAAAUCCUGCAGCUCAACUGUAGAAUUGCCUUUGAUACUGGUUAUCUUGAAUUAUUAUGAAGUAGUUAGAAUAUGUAGUGUAGCGGUGAAAUGCAUAGAUAUUACAUAGAAUACCAAUUGCGAAGGCAGAUUACUAAUAAUAUAUUGACACUGAUGGACGAAAGCGUGGGGAGCGAACAGGAUUAGAUACCCUGGUAGUCCACGCCGUAAACGAUGGUCACUAGCUGUUUGG
Molecule: ribosomal RNA, 462 nt
Filed under: uncultured Flavobacterium sp.
Lineage: Bacteria; Pseudomonadati; Bacteroidota; Flavobacteriia; Flavobacteriales; Flavobacteriaceae
Description: bacterial SSU rRNA
Rfam family: Bacterial small subunit ribosomal RNA
Source: RNAcentral